RNAcentral lists this ribosomal RNA (449 nucleotides) under uncultured bacterium. RNAcentral's name for it is "partial 16S ribosomal RNA". It matches the Rfam family "Bacterial small subunit ribosomal RNA", at positions 29 to 523 of the family's 1533-position model. The record is from RNAcentral.
AACGAACGCUGGCGGCAUGCCUAACACAUGCAAGUCGAACGAGAUCUUCGGGUCUAGUGGCGCACGGGUGCGUAACGCGUGGGAAUCUGCCCAUUGGUUCGGAAUAACAGUUGGAAACGACUGCUAAUACCGGAUGAUGACGAAAGUCCAAAGAUUUAUCGCCAGAGGAUGAGCCCGCGUAGGAUUAGCUAGUUGGUGUGGUAAAGGCGCACCAAGGCGACGAUCCUUAGCUGGUCUGAGGGGAUGAUCAGCCACACUGGGACUGAGACACGGCCCAGACUCCUACGGGAGGCAGCAGUGGGGAAUAUUGGACAAUGGGCGAAAGCCUGAUCCAGCAAUGCCGCGUGAGUGAUGAAGGCCUUAGGGUUGUAAAGCUCUUUUACCCGGGAUGAUAAUGACAGUACCGGGAGAAUAAGCUCCGGCUAACUCCGUGCCAGCCGCCGCAGUAA